UUCCCAGUGGUCGGGUGAUUAAGACUCUGUGCUCCCAAUGCAGGGGUCCAGGUUCAAUCCCUGGUCAGGGAA
Molecule: transfer RNA, 72 nt
Filed under: Bos taurus (domestic cattle)
Lineage: Eukaryota; Metazoa; Chordata; Mammalia; Artiodactyla; Bovidae
Also listed under: 1 other name
Rfam family: tRNA
About the family: Transfer RNA (tRNA) molecules are approximately 80 nucleotides in length. Their secondary structure includes four short double-helical elements and three loops (D, anti-codon, and T loops).
Source: Rfam by way of RNAcentral